Molecule: transfer RNA, 65 nt
Filed under: Ceratopus sp. CG351
Lineage: Eukaryota; Metazoa; Arthropoda; Insecta; Coleoptera; Curculionidae
Description: tRNA-Pro
Source: RNAcentral
CAGGAAAUAGUUUAUAAAAAUAUUAAUUUUGGAGAUUAAUGAUAAAGAAGAGUCUUUUUUCCUGA